ACGUGUUUUUUCUUAACCUUAGCGAUAUCUUCAUGGACUUUUUAUGAAAAUUCAUGUAACGUUUCACACUGUGACAAGAAUGGCCAUGAGUAUAUAUACUGAUAUUUAUGCAUGCAGCUUUCAUAUUACGCAUCGUAUGUGUGUUUUACACUUGACUGAACCUAAGUACACAGUGUAAAGUUAUAUUUCCUAGUGGCCUUUACGUAAUCCCACGACGGAGUUAUUUCCCUUCGUAUUCAGGGCAAUAUUGUAAACUGGUUCCACUGUUGGCACAUGACGCAAGCUUAGCGCGAUUUAGCUAGCUGAGGUAGACAUGAACCCAGUCCUUGAUAAGUGCGUUAAACAGCGACGACCCACAAUAUCACUUCACUUUACAUUUAAUGUUCGAGUCUCAAACUAUCUUGUGGCCAUGACAACCACCAUUAUGAUCAGUCUGCUCCUUGUCGUGUGCUGCAGUGUCGUCUGCUCGGCUUGGCGGUUCAAGAGAGACUAUAAGAACUGUUUCUGCACGGCGGUCAACAUCCACAACUAUGGCGACGUUAUAAAGGACUUCGGCUCCAUACAAUAGUGCCGUGCCUUCCCGGCAUGCAGCUGUCACAGAACGGAAAUGAUGACGUGUGGGACACAGUGUGACAGGAAGGUGAAAGAGUGGGUGUGUCAUCACGAGUGUGGAGGGAAUCGGGCCGUCGGGGGUGUCCAGAUACGUGCCUCCUUCACAGCCAGUACUUGCCAUUCCAACACGUCAUAUUUAGUUUAUGAAUGUGGUUCCCAAGUCAACUGUGCAUUUUGAUAUUGGUGAUGACGACGUUGGAAGUACAUGUUUUACAUUUAACAAACACUUUAUUUUUAUGUAUGUUCCGGGGCGGUCGGGUAGCCUAGUGGUUAAAGCGUUCGCUCGUCACGCCGAAGACCCGGUUUGAAUCCCGACAUGGGUACAAUGUGUGAAGCCCAUUUCUGGUGUCCCCCGCCGUGAUAUUGCUGGAAUAUUGCUAAAAGCGGCGUAAAACCAUACUCACUCACUCACUCACUUAUGUAUGUUCCAAAGCGGUCAACAGCAUGUUCCUCUUAACGUUAGGUUAAAAUACUAUCUACAUCAAAAUAUAAUUGUCAUUCUGUUGUCUAAACUUGCCAGUAUUUUGUCUCGAAUAAAUAUGGUCUGUCUAACUUUGAUCCAGAGGAUCUGCACGGCGUGAAGAAGUU
Molecule: long non-coding RNA, 1200 nt
Organism: Haliotis rufescens (red abalone)
Lineage: Eukaryota; Metazoa; Mollusca; Gastropoda; Lepetellida; Haliotidae
Exons: 3
Source: RefSeq, a predicted model, not a curated record